AGGUUCAGGUGCAUGGAUUUUAAAUACAACUUUCUGCAUCUUUCUGAACUUGGGAUCCUGUAGGAUUACAAAUUCUCCAGAAAGCAGUGACAAGGAGUCUGACUCACAUCCUCCUGCACCUCUUUUCAAUUACUGACUUAAACCAGGUGAUCUAGAAACUCCAGUCCCUCUUCUUCCUGCCGAUCGCUGCAGCAACCUACUGAGCCGGCCAGAGAACCUUUGCCUUCAUAGUUAUACGAACGAACGUAGUCUUCACAAUGUUUAUGCUCCUCAUCUUGUCC
This is a long non-coding RNA of Symphalangus syndactylus (siamang), 281 nucleotides long. RefSeq lists it as uncharacterized. The record is from RefSeq and is a predicted model, not a curated record. NCBI's taxonomy places the organism in Eukaryota, Metazoa, Chordata, Mammalia, Primates, Hylobatidae.